RNAcentral lists this ribosomal RNA (253 nucleotides) under uncultured bacterium. RNAcentral describes it as "partial 16S ribosomal RNA". It matches the Rfam family "Bacterial small subunit ribosomal RNA", at positions 524 to 776 of the family's 1533-position model. The record is from RNAcentral.
UACGUAGGGGGCAAGCGUUGUCCGGAUUUAUUGGGCGUAAAGCGCUCGCAGGUGGCCCGUCGCGUCGUGCGUGAAAGACCCCGGCUCAACUGGGGGGUGUCGUGCGAUACGGGCGGGCUGGAGGCCAGUAGGGGGAUGCGGAAUUCCGGGUGUAGUGGUGGAAUGCGUAGAGAUCCGGAGGAACACCAGCGGCGAAGGCGGCAUCCUGGACUGGUCCUGACACUCAUGAGCGAAAGCGUGGGGAGCGAUCCGG